AUACGUAGGUGACAAGCGUUAUCCGGAUUUACUGGGCGUAAAGGGCGUGUAGGCGGUCUUGCAAGUCAGAAGUGAAAUUCCUGAGCUCAACUCGGGCGCUGCUUCUGAAACUGCAGGACUUGAGUGCUGGAGGGGAUAGCGGAAUUCCUAGUGGAGCGGUAAAAUGCGCAGAUAUAAGGAAGAACACCGGUGGCGAAGGCGGCUAUCUGGACAGUAACUGACGCUGGGUGGCGAAAGCGUGGGGAGCAAAAAGGAUUAGAUACCCUGGUAGUCCACGCCGUAAACGAUUAAUACUAGGUGUAGGGGGUAUCGACUCCCUCUGUGCCGCAGUUAACACAAUAAGUAUUCCGCCUGGGGAGUACGGCCGCAAGGUUGAAACUCAAAUGAAUUGGCGGGG
RNAcentral lists this ribosomal RNA (397 nucleotides) under uncultured bacterium. Its description in RNAcentral is "partial 16S ribosomal RNA". It matches the Rfam family "Bacterial small subunit ribosomal RNA", at positions 523 to 918 of the family's 1533-position model. The record is from RNAcentral.